Molecule: long non-coding RNA, 1128 nt
Organism: Tupaia belangeri chinensis (Chinese tree shrew)
Lineage: Eukaryota; Metazoa; Chordata; Mammalia; Scandentia; Tupaiidae
Exons: 3
Source: RefSeq, a predicted model, not a curated record
GGGACAGACGGCCCAGACGGCCGGUGCUGGUCAUCGAACCCACCGCCCCGCGGACACCUUCAGCAUACAUCGAUUCGUCUUAAAGAGGGUCCUCGCCGGAGAACGCUGCAUCGUUUAAGAUGCCUUUCCACAAGGACUUAGGGGAGACACCUUGAGAGAACAUCGCUGAGGAAAUUACUAUUUUAGGAACAGAAAGUCAACUUUCCAAAGUGAUUAAACUAUACAGAGGUCUGACCAUCUGGGUUUUACAGCUCCUACCUCAGCAUAAUCUUGGAGGCUGGACUUCGAUUCCUAAAGACGCCACUGAUGGGGUGAGGAAAGGAAUGCACGGUGAGGCCCACUGCAGGGGCCCGCAGAACCGAGGCAGUGUCUGAACAAGAAGAAUGCAAACUAAUCACACAUAGAAACCAGUUUAUUAGAUUGUCAGUGAUACUUUGAGACAAAUUCAAGUUAUUUUCUUGUACUUCAUAUAAACAGAAGGAAGGAGGACAGUUGGAAACUUCAAGCUUUGUUCAGCAUGUGUGCAGUUAGCAUCCACAGAAGCACCAUCGGGUCUGGAGGAAGUAGCACCACAGGAUUUAGGACCUAACUGUUUACAUGCAUCACUGGAGCGGUGGGACAGAGGUGCGCGGGCGCACGCCGUCGGUCGUGAACAACACGAGGUGAUCCGACUCCUCCCACACAGCACAACACAGUCACAAGCAACGAGAACCUGCAAGCACAGCACAGGACAGGAACACCUCGUACCCUGUUAACACUACCGCAGCGACAGCUUGCGAAAAGCGCUUCUCGUCAGAGGCAGGAAAGGCCCUCCCUUGGUUUCUCAAAUUCAGAGUUAUCAGCAGAGUUUACGUCCUAUACACAGCGGACCACCAGCCCACGUGGACUCAUUCCCAUUGCACGGUUUUACGUUCAAGAUGAUCAUGCAGCUGAGUAAGAAAGGCCAGAGGAAGCCUAAGGAACGCCCUUCAGACCAGGCGCGACGGACGCCCUGACUGCAGCCGCUCUGGUGGAUGCUGUGUUGGCACGAGCACUAGCAUCUCCAGCUCAGCCUUCAUGUUCCCUUUCAUCUUGCUCCCCAUGGGCGUCUCAGAGCCACAGACUGCGAACCCAGCAGCAGUGUGCGUG